UUUUUUUUUGGUUGAAAAAAAAUGUUUGCACAUAGAGCCAUUCAAAACCAAAUCUGCAAGUGCCAUGCCAAUGCCAUGAUGGAGGAUUGAAGCAUCUGGGCAGUGGUUGAGAGCAUCGGAGAACAGAAAACAUGCACUUGAAUGCUGCACAUCUCUCAGGCUUUUACUUCCGACAUGAACUCCAACCGGAUUUCCUGCAAAUACAUACUGGUUCUUGGCUUCCUUCCUACUACUUUGCCUGACACUUGACCGGACCAGAGUACUACGUGACAGGGCCUGAGGCAGUGCUGAGCUCACAUUCCCUACUUCCUGUGUCAUGGCAAUGGCCAAAACUGACAUCCUAACUGCCCCAACUCACACUGGUACCACUUGCACAGUGUAGGCAUGCUCAGCAAGUUCCAAGAUUUUCCAUUCCAUCCUUGUGUAUACGCAGCUCCUAUUCCUGUGUAUUGCCAUUCACCUGACCUGACCUCCCAAGCCGUCACCAUUGAACAUCGCCCACAAGGCUCAAGUGCUCACGAGCGGUCCUUAAACUUACACGGCGGCGGCUGUAUCAUUCCGAUUCCUAUACUUUUUUUUUAACAGUAAAGGGCAGGAUUCCUAUACUCUUAGAAUGCAUUUUUUAUCCCUAAACUCUGUUUGAGUCUUACCAUAGUCCAAUCGGGUCCCCAUGCUGUGCGCCUCUAGCCAACAUGGAGUCUACGUGGAAAUGGCGAGCAUGAUCUCUUAGUCCUUGCCAGGGAGCGGAGGAGGAAGAGCGGCAGCAGGUGGCAAUCUCGCGAGCUGGGGAGAGCGACGGUGCUGUAGGCCGCGCCAUCUUCCAGGUUGUGGCAACUUGGCAUGCCGCAUGCAUGCCGCGAGCUCACAGUCGCCUGCCUCGGCUUCUCCGUCCUCUACGUCGACGAGCUACUCCCCGGUCGUGUGAUCACUACAUGUGCCCAUAUCGAGCUGCCGCCGUCGCGCGUGCGAAGGAGGUGCCAUGGGCGGAGCCGCGUUGACAAGAGACGGCGAGGCCGAGGAGGCAGCAGGGACGGAGACGACCAUGGACGCUGCGAAGGUGAGGCACUGGCUUAAGCAUAAGAUCGAGCACCUGGCGUGCGUUGUCCAUGCGCCACCAAGGCCACGACUAACAACUUGUUGAGCACAACGGGAGAAACAACAUGCGCAUGGGCGCAAAUGGCAGAAGACGCCGAUGCGCGGCUCGCGGUAUGCAUCAACUCGCACGCUCGCACCACUGCCCGGCGGUGAUGCCGUCGGCACCAUGCUCUUCAUGGCCAUCUUCAAUCCCGUUAUCCGCGAUGUUUAUUAGAGUCUCUCGUCGAGGUCGUUAUGUUCAUCGCAUACGAGACAGCCGCUUCCAAGGCUGAGGACAAGAACUGGGAUGCUGAACAGCAGCAGCCGUACGUGCUGAACCUCAACGUGGAGGUACCUCAGCGUCGAGCUGACAGUGUCGUCCCAAAUGGUGUCGACGCCGGCGUUGGUGCUGCUGCUAUCGAGCUGGACUUCAUGCGCGGCAUCGGCGUGAAGUCUGGUCCCUAGUGUGCUGGAGAGAAGAACUACAGGACAAAGGGAGCAGUGGUGGCAAUUGUGGUGCUCCUCGCCGGGGAAGAAAGGAAGCGAGAGGCCAAUCCAUGCUAGCGUGCUGAGAGAACUGGCUUGUGGACCCUAUGGACGGUCCAGCCAUGUGACAACACGCCACGUCCAUAUGUGGGUGCGGGUCAAGACCCAUUUGGACUUGAGAAACAAAAACAAGUUUAGGGACAUAAAAAUACAUUUUUAGGGCACAGGGAUCGGGACGACACGUAUGUGUAAGUUUAAGGAAUUGCUACGCAUUUUACUCUUAAAAAAAUUCUAGUGAAAGGUGAUGGAAAAUGGGCAUUGUCUUUAACUAUUGUAUUUUUUCCCUUGUUGUGUCAUUUUUUUCUGAGGUUAAUCUUUUAGAAGAGUCAUGCUUUUAGACCGAUUCUGCCAACUAGAAAUACGUAUAACUGUUGGCAUGUUGCACAUGAGUAAGAUAAGAACAGGAUGCAUAUUUUUGACGUCAAUCUUUUGUUGUGAAGCGAGUGACAUGGGCGCUGGCCAUCAUGGAGUAUUGAAGGAGGUAGCAACAGGGCGAUCGAUCGAAGGGCAGUGAAGUGAUGACCUGCACUUAAUGUUGGUCAUCAUUCGCUCAUGCCUCGGGACAGCAAGAGAGAUCUGUUCCAAGAUCAGCAAGAACAUUUGAGUUGACAGCCAAAGACUAGGCACACUGCACUGUGCAUUUGAGUACUGUACACUUGCUACUGCUAGUAGUAGAUGCAAUCGAGUGCAACGGUUAAAUGCCAUUGACCUUUUGACCUCAAGUUAGCAUGUGUGCUUGUAUGAUGAUCCGCCUUUGUUCAACUCCAAACCACAAUGUUGUCUACUGUAAUUUCACAAGAAAUGCAGCGGUCUCGAUCUGUGUGUGUUGAGGGAGAGGGUCCAGAGGGAGGAAGCGCAAAGGCAAGAAGGAAGACCAGGAGGGGGCCAGGGCUGACAAGACCGAGGAGGAAGAGGAAGAAUGAUGGCGUAUCUUUGGACCUGGAGUGCGUCAUCAAUUCAUCCCCAUCAUCACACUCUGUUGACAGCUAGCUACCACGCACACAGCCUCGACUCUGCAGCUGACAGAGGAUGAUACAUGACGCACAGCAUUGACUCGUACAAGAACACUCCUUUCAUCGAGCUUGAGGGCGGGCUAUAAAUAGACUCCCAGGCACACUUGAGCGAAACACAUCGAGCUCUUCCUCAUCUAGCCUCCUCGUCCUCCCCGACCCCCUGCACAAGUGCAAAUCAUCUGCCUGUAAAGGCCAAGCCAACCGCGCUACUGCAGAGUUGAGGGAGAGGUACUAGUGCUUCAAAUGCAGAGCAUUGCAGAUUCGAGUGUAUAUUUCCAGUUGUCUGUGUUGAACCCUUUGUUUCUUGUUUCCAGUUGAAGUUACAUGUGUUUUGAUCAUGCUCGUUCUGAAAAUUGACUGCAAGCAUUUGACUUCUGAACUUUAUUUUGGUGGUUUUGGAUGCAUGUAUAUGCAGGUAGUUUGCCAGGCGAAGGAUGGAGCGUGUGAACUCGAGCCUGUGCCUGGAGAACCUGCGGAUGAUGCACGAGAACGAGCGGCUGCGGAGGAAGGCGCAGCAGCUGGACCAGGAGAACAAGGCCCUCCUCGCCCAGCUCAAGCGCAAGCAGCAGCAGCAGCAGCACAACUCCUCGGCGUCGUCGUCGGCGUCCCAGCAGCAGCAAGGCGCCCCUUCCGCCGCCACCGCGGCCAACAACUUCAAGGCGGCCGGCAAGCAGCAGCCCACUAUGUGAACAAGUGACCGCUAGCUGCAUCCUUGUCUUUUGUAACGUAGCAGUAGCUAGCUGGUUACUACUCCUAACUAGCCACUGGUAGAGUAGUAGUAGAAGGAAGUUAGGAACUGAUGAUGAUGGUUAAGCCAGCAGCGGCAGCAUUUUGUGCUACGCGGAUGGAGUACUCAACUCAACUAGUCAGUUGAGCAGUCAGUCUUUCACAGUGCACGCAGCAUGCUACCGACGAUUGUUCCAGUACUGCUGCUUUUGUAAAAACAAGUGCCUCUCUCUUGUAUGCAAAUAUGCGAUGCAAUAGAGUUUUUCUCGAGGAAGAAGAAAUGGGAGAGAUCAGUACUGCAUGAAUAGUAGUAUAAUCGACUUGGUGGAGUAAAGCCCUUCACCCUUUUCAACUCAUGUUUGUUUUUUAAAUGCACACAUGCCAUGUUUGUCUGAGCCUGAGUGUCUGACGCGCGGUUGACCAUGUGAACCCUGCACAAGCUGCUGGUGACUGGUGAGUGCUUGCGAGAUACCAGGCCGGCAGGCCCCCCCGUGCGUUUCACUGGAAAGCCCAGCCCAAUAUGAGCCCGACAGGGAAAAACCCGUCGUCUGGGCUGCGCAUGGAUUCAGGCCUAGUAAUUAAUUUUGUAUUAAUUAAUCAAUUACGUUGCUUUGCCUAGCUGGGCAACCUAAUUAUCAAGUCUUGCGUUUCCAUAUAUUUCUUCCUUCAUAAAAAGAAAAUAGGAAUUGUAGGCAACCUACUCUACUCUACCGGGUCACGAUGUCACCACCUAACGCGCGCGCCAUUCCCAACCAUCUUUACCCACCCUCGUCUAUGUUCGUGCAAGCAAGGUAAAGCAUCAUCAUAUAUACCACCGGUACCCUGCACGCCACGCCCAGCUCUACCUUCAAUUCCUUUUUCUUCAUCCAAGUCACCAGGAAAUUAAACACAUACAGUAUAUCACAAAGCAACAUGGCAGGCAUACGCAUGGCCAGCGACGACGAUGGCCGGAAGAAGGUGGUCCCCGACAUCGACGACGAGGACGAGCUGUUCGAGCUCGACAUCGACCUCCUCGACGGCCACCGCGGCCAUUACUAUUCUGCUGCCGUCGCCGACGACGGGCAGCAGCAGCAUGCUCUGCUGGCCAACUGCCUGCUGCCAGCACGGUCGGUGAGCAACGCGGUGCCGGUCGACGCGAGCAGCGCGCUGUCGUCGUACCCCUACUCCGGCUACUACAGCUCCAGGAGGCUCGUCUUUGGUGGCGGCGUCGGCAGGAGGUUUCUUCUUGGACGGCCAGGGAACUCGGCCAGGUUUUGCUUCUCGAGCAGAGGCUUCGAUGCCUACUUUCAGAGGUACUGAUCGGGCACGUUUCGUCCCAUGUAAUGCAACAGCUAGCAGUACAGACUACAGUCUACAGACCGAUCGAGCAAGGUAACUAGCUAGCUAGGUUCAGUGGCUUAUGUUAAAGCGCAAUAAAGAGGCUGCAUUUUUGCCACAAUAUGGUUCAUUUCUGGCUCAGUCGUUGUGUACUAUAAAUCGACGGAACAGUUCAACUUUGUUUUCAGUCACUUUUUUUUUUCGGAAUUUCGGGUGAUUAUGUGAUGGUUUCUCACCCAGAUUUCUAAGGCCAGGAUCAUUCCAAGAUUCCAGAUUUCUAAUUAUCUCUCAGGCGAUUAUGAUUAUAGUGUAUGAAAACAAAAGAAAAGGCAAGCACAUUGGACAACGACGCUCCUCCCAGAUUCAUUUCAUCAGUCUGGGUUCUGAAUCUUCAUUUGUCUCUAAAUAUUCAGUGGAUUCAGUUAACAUUGUCAGUAUGCUAAGGUUUCUGAAUAUUCAUUAACCUCUGAAUAUUCGGUGUUAUGAAUGUAUUAAUUCAUUUUGCCUAUUUCUAGUAACCAUUCUGAUUUGCUCCAUUUUUUCUGCUUUCAGUUUCUUCAUAAUUCAGUGCAAUAUGGUUGAGUGCCUUUUCCAUCCAAUUCUUGCUCCAUUCAUUGCUUUUCUCCAUUUUUCAAUUUUAUGCCAUCUUAAGGUUGUUCCACUUUCUAUGUGUCAUGUCUUUUUCUUCUUUUGACCAGCUCUCAAUCAGAAACACAAUUGAAGAACUAUAUAACAUUUUCCAGAUUUAAAUUAGCUCAUCUUUUGAUGGAUUUACUUUAUUAGUAUUCAAUUUACUUACUGAUUUAGACAGCAUUAAAAUGCACCGAAGUUAACAUUGUCAGCUGAAUAUUCGUUGUAACCACUAUAUAGCAGCUACUAUUGCUGUGUGAAACCACUACACAACAGGUUGAAGAUUUCCUACAAACAAGAUCAAUUGUUCAGAGUCAUUCAGUAUUAGUCAAUUUAGAGUCCUAUUCAUUUCUUUAGUGUAGUCUCAUAUUUCAUUUUUUUCAGAUUUUCUAAAUAUUCAUUCUAUGCUCUAGGCUCGAUAUGAGUACAGAUGCCCAUCCUUUUUCUGUCUCCAUUUUUUUUUCUAAAUGUUUCAUUAUAUUGCUUUUUGAUCUGUUGUAGCUGCACUAACAUCGUCUUUCAGGUUAAAUAAUUCAGUGAUUCAUUAUUCAGUUUUCUUCUUUUUUUUUUCCCGACAAAGUCAAGGCUGCAGCUGCAAAUGGAUCUUGGCUCUAAAGCAUUCGGGUCUAAGAUUUAGCUGCUGCAUGCAGGUCUGAAUUCUGUAUUAGUUCUGUUUUGUUUUAGUGUAGUCUCAGAUUUCAUUUUUUGAUAUUUUCUAAAUAGUCAGUAUAUGCUCUAGGCUCGGUAUGAGUACAGAUGCCCAUCCUUUUUCUAUCUCCAUUUAACACCGAUCAUGCAUGUGAUUCUGUUUCUUUUUUGUCAAGAUCACUAACAAUCUCUAUUAUGGUUGAGGAUGCAGGGCAUCGUUCAUCACCAUCAAGUCUGAUGGCUUCCAAAGUGGCUUGGUGUUCAAUAUUCAGCUUAGUCUCAUGUACAGUUUAUUUUGUUUCAUGUCCUUAUUCUGUACAUGAAUAAAUGAAUGCUGAAGCAAAAUUAUUCUGCGAGUAUUAUGCACAGAUAGUUGCAUUGUGAUGUUAUGCAUUUCUAGUUUCAGUUUUGUCAUCUCCAUGUUCAAUUUUCUUUCAACGCUUUUAUGAACCAAGCAACAAUUAAUGAUCAGUGUUAAAUUUAGAAGCAGAGAUGAAUGGACAGUAAAUGAAUACCACCUGCACCAUUUUAGUAAGUUCAACAAUUAAUGGUCAGUGUCAAAUUUAGAAUCAGAAAACAAUGGAUAGUAAAUGAAUACUACCUUCACGGCUUCACCAGCAACAUAGUUUCCCCCCCUAGUUAUUUCUUUAUUUUUCUUAGCUGUUAUUGGGUCAAAAUCUGAGUGAUACACAGGUUGAAAAUUACCCGGAUGACAGGUAGUCACUCCCUUUUUUUUACUCUUUUGAUUGAACCCAGGCCCAAUCCGCGUGGAUGUGAUAGUAUGGGCCAAGUAAGCCCAAAUAACCUUUCCAGUUAUAGCCCAAUUAGGGCCUCGUAGGGCUUACAAUCCUUUCUUGCCCUACGAGGCGUACUCUCGCGAUACCUAUAGAAAUACGUCUUCUAGUGGAGAUCGCGUAUCGAUUGUGCACGUGGGAGCACAAAGCACAGCUGCGCGCAACUCGGGCGUGGCGCCGGUGGCGGAUUGGCGUCGCGGAACCGCCUCGGCGAUGACGCCCCCGAAGCCCCAGCCACCGGCUGCUGAGAGAUGGUGCUGCCAGGUCGCGGGGCGGCGCCACUUCCUCAUCGAGCGAUUGCUUCCACCGAGAUGAGGUCGCGGUGACCGGCCGGUGAGGGGACUCGCAUUCGCUCGGCCCUCGCCUCCCUCUGAUCGCAUUCAAGUUUCCAUGUUACUUAUUUUGUUGAUUGGGUGCGUUGUUUAUGUGCUGCCGUUGAGCAACAAUUUCACUCGCGCGUUUCAAUUAGCACAAAUUGAUCCUCAAAAAAAUUAGCACAAAUUAGCAUGAACUGCUGGGUAUUCCAUUGUCUUCGUUGGCGACAACUCUGCUAGUUUUACUUUGAUUGUCUCCUAUUCGAAAUCCAGCAGAUAUCUGACAUUUCUGUGACUUUGUUCGAUAAUAACGUCUCAUCAAAGUUAGGCGUUUUUGGUUUACAUUUACUUAAGUUGACUUUUAUUUUCCUCCCAAAAUAAAGUCGAGUUGUUUAUAUAUCCGGUAUAAAAUUGGGCUGCUGCAGAUGUGGUGUGUGUUCCACGUUUCCCUGAGAGAAAGUUGGGCAUCUGAAAGUUGACAUAUGCAAGGAACCUAGAGUUCAGAAAGAACAGAGUUGCCUAUUAUCGUUGAAAUCUGUAGUGAACAGAGUUCAGAAAGGACAAAAACGCCUACUGUGGUUAUAUAGAGCUGUGUAAUAUUCGGGCACUAAGAAGAGCAAAGGAAAGCACCAGAUAAAAGAAACAAACGUGUAGGAUAUGGCCUAUUUCCGGGAAGAAUUUUUAACCUGCAUCAAUCAGAACAUGUUAUCAUCGAAAUGAUGGAUUUCAUAAAAUAUAUUAUGAGGUUUUGGGAUUAGAAAAUAUAAAUGUGUGGUGAUGUGUAGAGGAACUUUUAUCUGCAACCAAUACUCGAUGAUGAAGUUGCGACCUAAGAUAAGACUUCGUCCUUAGUAUAUUUAUUGCCCUUUUAUCUUCCCUUCAAAAAAAGUGCGUUUUCAUCUUGCAUCUUUGGCCACUCAAUGGUUACUAAGAAAAAGGUUCAACCAUAAAGCCAAUUAAGCCUGGUUUUCUUUCGUUACAUAUAUCAAAAUAUAAUAAAAAAAUUGGGUACAUGUGACAUUGGAAGAACCAUGUUUACUGUUGAACCUAGAAAUUCUCACAUUCAUCAGGAGAGAAAGGAGAGAUCUGGAUACCAUUUGCUUGAUAUGUUUGGAUUAUACAUUUGUUGAAUAUUCAGAUACGUUAGAAGUCUAAAUUCUGAAUAGAGCACCAUAUCUGGACUAGAAGAUUGAUAUUUUCAGGCAUUAAUUUGGAAACUUUACAAAUAAUCUUUGUUGCAUAUUUUCAUAUGCCUCACAGAUAUGUGAGAAUUUCUGCUAGUUUUUUAUACUCUUACCAUUAGUAUUUUCAAUAUUUAACUUCUUCUUCCUACUCUUUCUUAUUUGCCUUUCUGCAUUUUAGUGGCAUAUGUAUUCAAAAGGUAUAUGAAUUACAUCUUGAAUACCCGAAUUCUUCCUUCAACUAGCAAAGAGAACUGAGAUUCCACUCCCCAGCAACUGAGAACACAAGUAAAAUCGUUUAUACUUGACGCUUUGUAGGCUAGCCAAGGGAAUUCUCCUUUGCACAGGUUGCAAUGUUGCUUGUAUAAGUAGCCUCUUGUGAACAAAGAGAGCAUUCAGUUUAGACUCAGAUACCAUACUUUAACAUUUCUAGUAGGCAGUCCUCUAGGUGGUACCUCCCUUAUCUGUCCAUGCCUCUAACAAUAAUUCACUAGGGAUGUCUUCAUAUUUCUACAAGGUGACAUGACAAAAUCUGACAAUUUCCAUUUCCAGGAGAUUUGGAUGUCAGAAAAAGUGCACAUAGUGUGAAUCUGGCAAGUGGCACACUGCAAAUAGUAGAUGAUUUUUUUUUGCCUGUGGGGGAUGUCCAACAACCCUGGUUUCAGACUUUCAGGGACUGUCUUAUACAUGAAAUUUUACUAUAAGCAUGGAUCAUUCAUGACUCAAUCUUAACACUUGCAAAACAAUCUAGUACUGAUACAAUUUGCAAAAUGCAUCCGGAUCAUUCAUGGAUCAUUGAUUUUGUAGUAAGAGGAUCUGAAGGCGCUUAUUUAUCAUAAUGUGGACAGUGGGAUCUAGAACUUUCAGCGCCUCCUAGCAGCUGUUUCUCUCUGAGCAUUGAAGUAGACAGCAGCUACAGGGAGGCCAAGGUCAUUUUCCUCAGCAAACUGCUUGGUGUUGAAAUGAUCCCUGAAGGAUGGCACAGUUACAGUUUGCCUGCGCUUCUGCUUGAAGAGCACAAAAAUGAACCUGUGGAUACCAAUGCUAGGUCUUGGGCUCUCGUAGCUUAUGACCUCUCGCCCUGCAAUUUGGAAGAUGCAUGGUUAUUAAUUCAAAGAACAAUUGGAACAUGGCAUAGAUUAAGCAUGAAUCAGUGAAAGAGCCUACCAAACGAGGCAUCUGUUGUCCCAGGUAUAUCGGUCACGAUCCUGCAAAUGUAAAGGAUAACAUUUAGCCACACCACAAAGUGUUCAGAAAAUGUGCUGUUUUGUGUAUAUGGAAGAUGUGAUGCUAUCUUCCUUAGCAACAUAUGUUAUUUGAUGUCCAUGAGGUAAGAAAUGCUGAAUAUUACCAGUGAAGGUGCUCUCUUUGAUAUGGAUCACUUGGUCCUGGGACAUCUGGGUCUGUCAUAACCUGAAAUUUGAAGAGCUAUGGCCAUUAGGGAAGGAAUAUUACAUAUAGAAUAUUUGGAUUUAACCAUGAAGCAUUUGACUGCUAACCAAUGUAAAGAAAGACCGCAAGUCACCCCCUUGAACCUCUACUCUUGGUUUAGAUACAACUGCUGAUGGGUAUAUCUCGUGGCCAUUGAAGACAAGUUUGUUUGAGUUGUAGGUCACUGUCAUCUUCACACAUGGAUUAAAGGAGUCGAGGACUUCACCAAUCACCCGACCGACUACGAGUGCCUCGACAGACCUAGACAUGGUUGGAGGGACAGGUAUUUGUAUUCUGCAGAACAAAUGCUCUGACUGAAUGCAGCAAGCUAAUGCACUCAAGGAUGUGCCGCGAGCUGCUUAUUGGGCAUUGGUUGAGCACAGGCCUCUAUUUAUAGUGGUUUGGAACCUGUUGCCAAGUGUAGGAUCAAAAGAGGAUGUGAAGCAUGUGUGUUUUUUUAGUUGGGCAUGCUAUGGAUGCAGCUGAAAAGGCAACAGGAAGGAUGUAUGCUUUUUCCAAGAAAGCCAACAAGGGGUACUAUAUUUCUCUAACAAUCACAUAAAGAAUCUACACAAGCAAUGCUUCACGUAUCUUCUUUCAAGUUCUUGGGAUCCCCUCUCAGAACCAUCUGAUAUGAAUAAUUGACUACAAAUGUGCAAAAUUUUCCUUUUCUUAUUGAGAUGAACGUACUGAAGGUAUUCUUUCAUGAAUGAAACAAUGUUUUUCGGGUGUUGUCGUCACAAAAUAUGUGAUAGAUCAAUAAGUAUAUUUUAUACCUUUAUAGAACGUAACACACCUCCAGGAAAGUGGGUCACGGUAAAGAUUACGGUGCUAAACUAUCUUGUAUUGCUGGGAAACAUCGCUCACCUACCUACGUAGGAUCUGCAUGACAGCCACUUUGCAGAAUUCAAUGCUUAACCGUGUUAUCAAAUUAUUGUGUGCCAUUAUCUCUAUGCCCUACUGAAAGAGAAAAAAGGAACUUUUUUUAUCGAACACGCGGGAGAGCUGCAUAUCUUUAUAUUAAGAGAGAAAGAAGGGGAAAGAUCCCCGUACAAAGCAGUCUCAUUUCCUCACAAAGGAUGAAAUAAGGCUGCCGCAACACCACACAGACCUAAACUAAGAAACUCUCACUUGACCCUCCCGUUGACCUGAAAUAAAUACUGAAUUUUUUUAGCAACAGCAAGGCCCCAAAGCCUCAACUCUUCUUUAAAGAACUGAUGUGCUGCUUGCAAAGAAGGGGCUGCCCCCAUCAAAAACUCUCCCUUGUUUAUGUGGUUCCAUAGCGUCCAAGCUCCUAGUAUAACCAAGCUCCUAGAAAAAAGGGAACUUUGUCAUAUAAUCAUUACCAUCUCAUUUCUGGAGAGCACACUUAUCCUUUUUUCUUAAAAAAAUGGAAUCUCUGCGUAACUAUUCGUGGCAAGUUUGGAAGUAUGGCUUUGUGGAGAUAAAUGGAAAAUAAAGGGGAAUAUUUUUUUUCCGUGGCUUGGAGACAAAAAUUGCUGCGCUGUGGACGUGGAAGCCUUUGUGCUCUGCAGAAUAUGAUGCUUAAUCACCUUAUCAAAUUUGUGUAUCAGCUCUGCACCUUUUAAAGGUGAAAAACAUAUGAGCUAUUCUGGAAAUCUGUAGUAGCACCUGAUUUCUGGAAAGCACAUUAAAAUACCUUAUUGUUAUAUCUAGAUAAAUUAUCGAUGGUAGGAAGAUGGCCGUUCUGGAGGUAAAUGGGAAACGGGGAAUAUGAUUCUUUGGAAUUUGGUUUUUGAGGAAACUAUCAAUUCCAUUUGGCAUGCUUGAUUUGAUGUUUACUUAAAUUGCCAAUAUUCUUAUCUUCCUGUUUUAUAUAAUAUAUAUACAUACAUAUAUAUAUACAUAUAUAUAUAUAUAUAUACAUAUUCUCAUUGUCUUGGAGAUGAAAUGCUGCUCUGUCUGCGUGGAAGCCUCUCAACCCUCAAAUGUUCAUUUUUGCCGGCUUAUUCUUUUUAGGUAACCCUCAUUUAGCUGCCUCUUUUUCUGUUAAGGAAAAGAGAAGCUUUGAGUUCAAUUCGUGUUAGAAUUUUUCCUCGGACUGUGAUACCAACUGAUUUACCAUUAUUAUCUGUUUAUUCUACUCUUUGCCAUGCUAUGACAAGAAGUCGCUGAAGAGAAUAAAGGAACAGAAUGCAGUGCCGCCGCCACUUCAUCAUGUAGGGUGCUGUCUAGUGCAGAGAUGUCAAUUCAGUUUUAAAAAGUUCAUAGGUUCUUCUUGAUUGAGGCAUUAAAAAAUCUUUAUAGAUUUCCAUAAGUGGUGGAGCCAAGUACAGGUUUGUGCAUUCUUCUGUUAUGAUCAAAUGCCAUCAUGCCUGCUCGGCACCAUGCGUAAGUGGUAGGAGGUUAAGUACAGCUUGGUGACAAUUUUCUGCUCCUGCCAAUUCCAUGAUAUUUGCUCCACACCUAGCUAAGGUAGUAGAAUCUCAUAGCUGUUCCAACCAAUGGUAAAUGCAUAUCGCAGCCCCAUUGGUAGGAAAAUCUCUAUAGGGUCAGUUUUUUUUUGGAAAUCAGACCAGUUUAGCAAUAGCUUAGGGCUUUCUUAUGCCUAGGGCUUUCAAUGAAGUUCACUAGUUUAGUAGUCCGUGGAGACAGAUUGGUUAGCUGCCAGAGUUCUGAGGGAGCAAUACCAAACGGCUACCAAUAAUUGGUAUAGUUGAUUUUGUACCCUGCGCAUCUUUGGGAUGGUAUACUGAAUGAUGAGUGCUGCUGACUUGUUUCUAUGGCAUCUUGACUAGUUCCAGUAACAGAAAAAUCUUCACUAGUUUCACUCUUGCAUGUACUAAAACAAUUAGAAAAGACAAAGGCUGCUUUACCAAUGUUCAGCCUCAUUAACAAGUUCCAUUUAUACAUCUCUGGGGGCAAUAAUAACCAUAUUUCACCUCCAUGCAGAUGAUGAUGUUUCUUGGUUGUUGUCAAUAAGCUGUUAUCCAACACCUAUGUGAAAAAGGAGCCAUCCACUGAGCCUUUGUCCCUGAACACGCAGAGUGGUAAGUAGCCAACCUGAAUGGACUUGACGGGAGGAUCAUUGUGGGCCAAUCCGUGGAGGCGGUCAGAUAUUCAGAUCAUGACAUGAAGACUUUGGCGGGAAGAGUCCAUGCUCCAACGAAUCUCCAAGGAUCAAUGUGUCUCCCCUUGAUUGCUUACGAGUCAGUACCCAAGCAUACAAGAUAACUCUCAAAUUGUGAUUGUGCUGGUUGACGCUGAGGGAGUUCCAUGAGGAUUUGGUUCGUGGUUUGGGCGAUCUAUGCCAUGAGAGUUGAAUAUAUUAAACUUUUAUCCCACGUGGUGGCAAGCUGCAGGAUUUUGGUAGGAAAAACUUCGUGUUCGGCUAGCUGCUUUGCAGCUGGCCGCCGCCGCUCGGCAGCAGCCAGCUGAACAGCUACUCCAGAUAUCAUCGUAGGAGGCUCUGCCUGCUGCUGCACCAGCAGUCGAGCAGCAGCAGCCAGCCGAACACGCUGUGCAAGUUUCCAUAUUUCUUCAGACAAUCUCUCGGUGUUGAAUGCCGAGAGACGUUGCAUUUGCAUGGACCAUGGAGCCCAGAAGUUUGCAGUUGUAAGCUAUAAUCAGCCUUUUACAGCUGCUGAAUGCUUAUCCUGGUUGUGUGGAUGUGGUUGAACUUGUGUACACAUUACAGUGUUACUGACUUACUGUGGCAGCGCGGAAAGUUGAUUCUCAAGACCAUUUCCUUUUUAAUUCACUUGUUUUCCUUUUUUUUUCCUGCGUGAGAAACCAAACAAGCAGUAGGAGAUUUGGUUAAUAAUGCUGUGUUUUUGGGCUGUACCAGAGCCCAUGACAACGAGCUGGAUCCCCUGCCUCCAGGGCGACCAGUCCAAUCCGUGAUCCUGUACUGAAAUCCGCAGAGCUGGGCUGUGAUCUGGGAUCCAUUCGCGUGAUGCCAACAAAUAUCAAUGUCCGGGCGGGGAGGUCAUGUGCUCAGGUCAGCGUGGUCUCGCUAUCAAAUAUCAAUGUGCACCCAAAAUGGCCACUAGUUUCUGGAGCCUCAUCGGCAUCUAGGAGACUAGUAGGAUUGUGUGCCAACUACGCUAGUCCCUCUCUACUUUGGAGGCUCAAUACUUUCAGUACACCAUUCUUGGUUGGUAAGAUUGCAGAUUUUCUUUCCAGUACCCACUUGCAUUGCAAGCGAAGAAACCGAACGAAACGCGGUCAUGGAGCAGAGAUCGUAUAUUUUGCAGCUCUGAUGGCCACCUUAUACCAUGAGCACGCCUCUGGAUAAUCCACUGAGCUAGGCACCUUCUCCUGUCUGCCUGAUCUUCUGGCAUUCAGCUAGGCACCAGCAGCUCGGAGAUGACUAGGACUGUGUACUGCAACAGCAUCGCAAAUCUUAUCUCUUAUUCACAGCAGUGAUACAUAGGGCACGCAAAGCAGCAGCAACACAGGAGCAAAACCUGACAGACAAGAGCCAAUAUAUGAGAAAAAGUUAAUCCCAAAGACGAUCAUACUCAUUAACAUAUGUAGUGGAAAGAACAAUAGGGGGGAAACAUCAUUUCCCCCAAGAGUAACAUCUUGAAGUCUGAACAGAAAGUUGUGACUUGCAGAAGAACCUUAACUACCAACCAUCUUUGCACUGAACAUCUUGUGCUCAUGUAAGUUGUCACAGUGAAGUGACUAUAUUCAAAUUUACAUUGCAAAAUAGGAACAUAGAUCUGGAUCAACGUAGACCAUGAGGAUAAAAUAGUCAUAUGUCUACAGCAGCAAGCUAAAGCAGAAGAUGCAAAACAAAUAAAUAAAAGCAGUGAUUGUCAGGCCUGAUUCCCUGAUGGGGUCCAUCUGUUGCAAAAAGGCCACCGACGGAAUAAAGCACAACCGACAUUGCAAGUGUGCCUUGCCACUCAAAGCUAUCUUCACAUUUGUCUCCUCUCACCUGAAAGCACCAGAUCUGGAGAAAAUGGCUCCUAAAUUAGUCUUUGUUCUGCCAAUUGUGCUCCUCGGCUGGGCAUUCCAGGCGAUUCUCCGGCCACCUCCCACAAAACUGUGUGGCUUCCCAGGUGGCCCUCCUCUGACAUCUCCGAGGAUCAAGCUCAGGGACGGAAGGUACCUUGCAUACAGGGAAGAUGGAAUACAGAAAGACAAGGCCAGGUACAAGAUCAUCACAGUACAUGCAUUUGAUAGCACCAAGGACAUCCCCCUGCCUGUUUCCAAGGUAUAGCAGACAACACAACAUGGCUACAAGCGAAAUCUCUCUUUUAUUUCUUCGUAUUAUGCCCACUGGCUUCUAUCUUUGUCAAUUCAGGAGCUUGUUGAAGAACUGGGAAUUUACUUCCUUGCUUUUGAUAGAGCUGGGUAUGGGGAAAGUGACCCAAAUCCCAAGCGGGAUGUAAAGAGCGAGGCACUGGAUAUCGAGGAGCUCGCUGACCAGCUGGAGCUUGGGCAGAAGUUCUACGUCUUGGGGGCCUCGAUGGGAGGAUACUCUGUUUGGGGAUGCCUCCAGUAUAUACCCCACAGGCAAACAUAGUCCCCAACCACAUAGAUUUUAGUGAAAUACAAACCUCUUCAGAUAUGUAAAGCUCCAUAUGCUGUGUGCGUGCAGGCUCGCAGGUGCUGCGCUAGUUGUUCCAGUUAUCAACUACUGGUGGCCUUCUUUCCCAGCUGAACUAUCCAGGCAAGCCUUCAAGAAACUGGUAGUGCCAGAGCAGAGGACCCUGUGGAUUGCACACAACGUACCUUCCUUGCUCUACCUGUGGAUGACCCAGAAGUGGCUCCCUUCUUCGGCAGCUGCCAUGCACAACCCUGAAAUAUUUAGCAAGCAUGAUAUGGAGGUUCUUCAGAAGAUGAUGGCAAUGCCAAGAACCAUCGAGGUAAACCACAGCCUCAGAUAUAUAAGAAAAAAAAUGCACCACAUAAAAUACUUCUUCACAGAGCAGGACUUAUUUCCUGUGUGUUCAUGGCAUAGAGACUAUAUGCAUGAAAAUGGCAGGAAUAAAGAAUAUCAAAAGAAACAUUUGUAUUCAAAAUUGGCCUAAAGCAGUGUAAUAAAAAUAACCUGCCCUUUUUUAAGAUUUCUCAACAUACACUGAUUUGCUACUUCAUUUUUCAGAAUAAAUCAAGGCAACAAGGCACUUAUGAAUCAAUCCACCGUGAUUUACUUGUCGCUUUUGGAAGUUGGGAUUUUGAUCCAAUGAAUAGUACCAACCCAUUUCCUCAAAAUGAGGGUUCUGUACACAUCUGGCAAGGAUACGAAGACAGGUUGGUGCUUGUUGAGCUGCAGAGAUACAUUUCCAAGAAACUUCCAUGGAUCAAGUACCAUGAAGUCCCAGAAGGUGGACAUAUGUUCAUGCUGGUAGAUGGAUGGACUGACCGAAUUCUCAAGGCGCUCUUGGUAGGAGAAGAGCCCUCAGCUGCGUGACAGUAGACCCAUUUUCAAAUUUUGAGAACAACAUCAAGACGGCCAGCUGCUAUUCAGUUCAAUUUUUUUUCUUCACAAAUUUGUAUUCCUACAAUGUCAGGACUGGUCUAAUUCACAAUGUGCUAUACUGUCACUUUAAGCUAUUGUUCUCCAGCAUAUUAUCAAGUAAUUACAACAGCAUGUUAGACCAUGGUACUACGUUAUUACCUUUGGUCCAAAAUUGAUGUCAUCCUAGAAAGUGUGCGGUCAAAUAGUCAAAUUCUUUAUGAUUACUAACUAUAUACAACGGUAUUCAGUUUUGCUACAUGAAAACAACAAUGGAGUCAUCAUCAAAAUUGCAUCAAUGUCAUUCAAAAUUUACUGGUUUUAUAUAGCAUAUGCUAAAGAAAAGCAAUGAUCAUUGAUCAGUGCUCAGUGGUGUGCCCUGAAGACUAUUGGCGACCUAAAUGACAAGUGAGUCAGACAAGAGGUAGUACUAUACCUUGGCUGUUAAAUAGUCAUAGAAACAGCAAAAAGAAAAAAAAACACCUUACACAUUUAACACCAAGAGGCAAUCAAAAGGGAAACUAACAAAUCUGCAGUCAUGAUCUAGAUAAGACCAUGAAAAGCUUGAGCACGAGCAUUCUCACCUUUUCCUUAGAAGAUACAGUCUGAAAAGUUGAUAAGAUGAAUAGAUUGUAUUGGCGUGCAUUCCUCAUUUCAACAGUUAAUCUAUCAAUGAAAAUGAAAUAUCAAUAAUCACCAUAGAAAGAAAAAAAAUAAAGCUCACUACUGAUUAUGAUAAAUCAAACUAUUGUAACAGCAUUAGACAGUAGCAUACCUGACUAUGCUUGGCAUUAGUAUAAUUGAAGCUGUCACAUGAGUACAAGCAUAACGUGAUAUUGCAUGUUUGCCAAAACUCAUUUGCAUACGGUUAAGUACAAUCAAAACCAUAUUCUUUUGGUAAAUCACUAACCAAGUAGAAUCAAGUACAUGAAUUCAAAACUUAAUGCAAGUUUGCACCACAGAUUCAAUCUCUCGCGAAAUUUGGAGAUCAGAAAUGAUAACACUCUGACGUGGGCUAACAAAUUAAAGAGCCUUUUUGUCAAAAAAUUGUUCAUGUCAAUAACAGUUGGGACAGAUCUUUAGAAAGAGAUAAUUUCUCACUAAAAGACCCAAAGAAUGAUUACAUAUCUGACAGAUCAAUAUACUGUGACUUAUGCCUAUGACAAAUUGAUGGUCAUACAGGAAUUAUUCAUUACAAAAAAUUCUUGGUAUAUUCUUACCAAGAGAAAUCCUAUAUGUAAUUGAAGGAAGCUCAGUCGCAAAGGCCUGCAGCCAUUUACUAUUUUAGAUAGUUGAUCAACACCAGUCGGUUCCAGCACACCUUGUCAAAAGCAAAUAACAAAUGGGACAGAAUCGUAUGAUGAGAGGCCUUUAGAAAACAGACCAUAUUCCACCCAGUUUCCAUUAGAAAACACAUCUCCAUGAGUAUAAUGCCAACUUGCCAAGAAAAGAAUUCUGGCAAGGUUAACGCAGCAAGUGGAAGAACUGUUUGUACUCAACUAUUCAUUUGGGAAGCAUCCAGCUGCUUAACUCAGAGGACAUGGUACCUAAGUCUUGCUUUUUCUUCUUUCGAAUGGAAUUGACUCCAAACUCCAUUCAUCAUCUGAGCAGCAAGAGGAAGGCCUGCUUGUGCUUAACUAUUUGUUUAGAAAGCACCCAGCAGCUUAACUCAGAGAACAUUGUUUCAAACUCUCCUUUUGUUUCCCUUUUGAAAGGAAUUGCCCAUAAACUCCAUCUAUCAUCUUUGGGCUGAACACAAAAAACAAAAUAUGCUUAAUUAAAUGAGCAAAUAGCUAGAUAAGAAACAACUGAGGAAGAGAAAUAUGCAUACAGGAGAAACUUCUUACACGGACACACCUGAAAUGCAAGGAUAAUCUUUCACUGAGAUCAACCUAUUCACCCAAAACAACGUUCUCCAAAUACUCAAUUGCAUGGUGCAUGUGACUUUCAUCAAAUCCCUUAAACAAGGCCUUAUGUGUGCAAUAAUCUGGAUGUAUGCCGUUCUGAUGCAUUUCAAAAUACAAUCUCAUCGCAUCUUCCCAGCUGCCUUCUUUGCAGUUUCCAUCUAUCAACAAGGUAUAUGUGUAUUUGUUUGGUGCCAAUCCCCUUUCCAGCAUCUCAUAAAAAUGAUGAUAAGCCAAUUGAGUUCGGCCCAUCCUGCAUAGCGCAUGUAUAAGGACAUUAUAUGUUAUUUCAUUAGGUUCAACUCCUUUUUCCAACAUCUUUCGAAACCAACCAUAUGCUGAAUAAAGGUUUCCUUUUCUACAAUAUGCAUGAAUAAGAACAGUGUAGGUCACAGCUGUGGGUGGUAGAUGAUAUGAGUCCAUCAUAUUAAAAUAUUUUCUUGCUUCUCUUAGGAGUCCUCUUUCACAGUGCGCAUGAAUCAAGCAGGUGUAUGUGAUACAGUCAGGCUUUAAACCAUCACGGACCAUCUUCAUCCGCAGAUCUUCAGCAUCUUUCAGGUUUCCAGUCUUGCACAAUCCAUCAAUAAGAAUAUUGUAUGUGACUGUAUUAGAAGAUAUUCCUUCCAACAUCAUCGCCUCCCUCAACUGGAAAGCGUUGGAAGCAUCCCCUAGGGCAAGCUCUGCGCGAAUCCUUGUAUUAUAGGCAAAGCAAUCUGGCUGCAAACCUUUGCUCAGCAUCUCAUCAAAGAACUCUCUUGCCAUAGCAGGGUUCCUCACCUUAUGUGAACCAUUCAUGAGAGUUGUAUAUGUACAAACAUCGGGCAAACAGUCCUGCUCUACCAUUUCCUCUUUCAAUCUCCUAGCUUCAUCUAAAUCACCUAUUCUACAAUAACCAUCUAUCAGAAUGUUAUAUGUCAAAAUUGUUGGUGCUAACCCUGCACGCCUCAAAUCGCCAAGCAACCAAAGAACCUCCUUCAAAUUGCCUGCCUUACAAUACCCGUUUAGCAAAGAAUUGUACGUGAUCACAUCUGGAAGCAAGCCCAUCGCCCUCAUCUCCACAAACUUCAAUUGUGCAGCCUCCAUCUGCCCACUUUGAAGCAGCCCGUGAAUCAUUGCAUUGUAUGUCACAACUGUCGGCAUGAUACCUUCAUUCUCCAUCACCAACUGCAAAGCUUCAGCCUUCUUAAGAAAACCCCUCGCAAACAACCCAGUGAUCAGUGGGUUGUAAGUGAAGGAUGACGCUUUCUUGGACAGCCGCAUCCAGUCAACCAGCUCCACUGCAUCCCCCAGGUCACCUUUCCUGGUCAGCCAAGAAAUCACCACAUUGUAUGUGACAUUGUUUGGCAAGCAACCAGUCCCCCGUUUCUGCAUCUCCUUCAGCACCAUGGCAGCCUUGUCCUCCCUUCCCUCCUUCAAGAAAGAAUCCAGCAAAGUGUUGUACGUGACAAUGCUCGGCUCAAUCCCAAGCUGGAGCAUCUCUGCAUACACCGCGCAAAUGUCAUCCCACAUGGCCGCAUCACGGAGCACACGGAGCACGCGGUUGCAGUCUUUGACGUCAGGGGCCACUCUGUGAUGCGCCAUCUCACGGAAGGUGGACAGGCACAGCGUCGAACAGGUGGUGGGCGCAGCGUCGCGACCUUCGCAUUCUGGGGAGAACUUGGUGGACAGGCGUAAGAGGAGGCUCAACAGGGAUUUUGGGGCGGGAGAGAGGUGGGUGGAUAGGAGAAGGGACACGAGGGGGAGGAGGAGGCCGAGGUGCAGUGCGCGGAGGGAGACGGGGUAGGCAGCCCGGAUGUGGUUGGAUUGAGCGAGCGGGACGAGGACGGCGGCGAAUGCGGAGGCGGUGCGCGGGAAGCCGCGCGGGGUGUCCUCCGCCCACCGGAACAGCUGGCGCGCGAGGCCCGGGAGGCCGCGGAGCGCGGAGUGAACGUCGCCCGUGGCGAGCACCAGGCGGAGGGGCUCCGGCGGUGGGGGAUCAGAGGCGAGUAGUGCGGCGAAUGGGUUCUCCUCGGGAAGCGCCGGCGGAGGUGAAAUCAGCGGCUGGGACGGCGGCGGAAUCAAAGCCGGCGAGGAGGAGAAGCGGAUGCUGGAGAUAGCUGCGACGGCGGCUGCAGGAGCUUGUGAUUUGCAGUACGGGAUGUUGAAUAGCAUGGAUUAAGGUUCUGGUCCUACCCGGCGACGCCUCGCCAUGAAUGACGGCGCGGCGGCGGCGAGAAGGGACCUGCGGCAAUGGCUGCGGCGCAUCCACCAGAUUCCAGCGGCCGUAUGGGGUCGAGGGCGCGCGCCCCAGGCGGCGGCCCCCGACCUGGAGUUGAGAGCGCGCGGACGGGGGAACUGGACUCAGAUGGCCGGGAAGCGGCACAGGAGCCGGCGUUGACGGCGUUGGAGCCUGGCGGCGGCGGCGGCGGCUGGCAAGAGAGAAAGAGCCGCGGGCUCGACUAGGGGAGAGGGAUCGGAGGAAAGAAAGGCCACGUUCACCACAGAACGCUCUGGCCCUGGCGCCGCCGCGCCAGUACAGAGCACGAGCGAUCUGCACCGUCUAUUUUGCAUCCAGAUUUGUGCAGGAACUUCACACAAGAAAAAACUGGUAAGCCCAGCUGAACAUCUGGAUUCUGGGCCCCAGGCCCCUGUCCAAAUCUAACUCUGGUGUCUCAGAUUCCGAGUGCAAAUUCAAAUACUUCGUCUUCUGUACGAAUCUAGGGUUCGGACAAGAUGCGUAAAAUACAACGAACCAAAAUUGGAGAUCAAAUAUGUGGCACUGCGAUGAAACUACAAAACCAUUGAGGAGGAAAAUUGAGGUUUCAAUAGCAUUUUGCAUUUUCAUCCGUUCCCUCCAUCCCAAAUUACCAUUCGUUUUGACCUUUUCUAGAUACUCAAUAUCUAUAUGUAUCUAUAAAAGAUAUAAUGAAUAUUAAUUUGGGUAUGUGUCUAUAAAAGAUAAAAUGAAUAGUAAUUCAGGACGGAGGGAGUCUAGAUGCUCAAUAUCUAUAUGUAUUUGUAAAAGACACAAUGAAUAGUAAUUCAGGUACGUAUCUAUAAAAGACAAAAUGACAAUGAAUAGUAAUUCAGGUAUGUAUCUAUAAAAGACAAAAUGAAUAGUAAUUCGGUAAUUUGGGACGGAGGGAGUCCCUUUCCAAUCGACAACAAAUCAAAUUUCUGGCGUGCCGCCAACCCUGACUUGAGAGAUGCACAACUGAAGAACCCACAAUUCAUUCUUAUCUCGAUUUCUUUAAUGCUGCAAAAGUUCCAUUAUAAAUCUAUAAAUGCAACUCCUUCAGUUACGACAGCAAAUCGGUAACAAUAAGUACAUCUGGUAGGACCAAGCUGGUCCUGGUAAUUCGGCAGUGCCUUUUUAUUUCAUCACAGAAGACAUCAUAGCCGAGUUACAUGCAAAUAGAUUGUGCCAACUUACAGACAACACCCAACAUGUAAAGACCUUCCAAUGUGACCCCUUACAUCCGGGAUCAAAUGGGCUAAAAAGGCUAUUGAAGCCUGAAGCUUGAAGCUCCAAGCUGUCCGACUACAAGAUAUCAAACUCAUUUGAUACCCAAUGUCGAUGCCAUCUUCUAAGUAUACAAUGGAUGCAUUUUGGAAACAGAUGAGCCAUAUUUUGUUCGUUACAAAGGAAAUUUCAUGCACAAGGCCUCACAGAAAAGGAACUCAAGGCAGAGUUCCGUAGCUUCUGAUUUGAAGCCCUUGGAAUGCUGGACAACACAACAA
This 21731-nucleotide long non-coding RNA is filed under the name Setaria viridis. RNAcentral describes it as "long non-coding RNA (SVIR_LNC008580)". Lineage: Eukaryota; Viridiplantae; Streptophyta; Magnoliopsida; Poales; Poaceae. The record is from RNAcentral.